UACGUAGGGGGCAAGCGUUGUCCGGAUUUAUUGGGCGUAAAGAGCGUGUAGGCGGCCAGACAGGUCCGUUGUGAAAACUCGAGGCUCAACCUCGAGACGCCGAUGGAAACCGUCUGGCUAGAGUCCGGAAGAGGAGAGUGGAAUUCCCGGUGUAGCGGUGAAAUGCGCAGAUAUCGGGAAGAACACCCGUGGCUAAGGCGGCUCUCUAGACGGUACGUGACGCUGAGACGCGAAAGCGUGGGGAGCGAACGAGGA
Molecule: ribosomal RNA, 255 nt
Filed under: uncultured bacterium
Lineage: Bacteria
Description: partial 16S ribosomal RNA
Rfam family: Bacterial small subunit ribosomal RNA
Source: RNAcentral